GCUCCCUUCAACUUUAACAUGGAGGCGCUUUCUGUGCCGUACAAACAACAGUAAGUGCUUCCAUGUUUUAGUAGAAGU
This 78-nucleotide microRNA precursor is filed under the name Octodon degus (degu). Its description in RNAcentral is "microRNA 302b (ENSODEG00000021825.1)". It matches the Rfam family "mir-302 microRNA precursor family". The record is from RNAcentral. Lineage: Eukaryota; Metazoa; Chordata; Mammalia; Rodentia; Octodontidae.